GAUCUCAUCAUAGCACGUCAUUUAGCUGGUAUUACAUUGCAUGUAGUUGCGUAGUGAUCGUCUUGUCGUCUCUAUUUCCAAUACAUUGACCAUCGAUCCAUCCCAAUUUGAUGCACUCACUAGACAAUUAGUGCAACUUGCCACUAGCCUAUCGACUGUCCAAUCAGAUAUAACUGCUACUCGUGAGGAGAGAAAGAACCUAGCUGCUAAGUUGAGCAAUUUUAAGCGAACCCCUCGUUUGACUGACACUAAUUCUGAAGCGUCUCAAAAUAGACAAUAUCAUCGUGGACAAAGUGAUCAAGAAUAUUUUCAACGCGAUCGUAGGAAUAGGGAUCAAGUUCGUGAGCGAGAACAAGGCCAUGGUCAUCAUGGUACUCAUUCUCUUCCUCAUCGUAAGGAGCGUUUCGUUAGAAACAUUGACUUAGAUAUUCCUACUUUCGAUGGUUGCUCAGAUCAUGGAAUUUUUACCCAAUGGAACACCCUUAACAAGGAAAUUGGCUAGUAACUGAGUACAUUACUCAAUUUGAGGAAUUUCGAGUGAAAUGUCACGUCGUUAAGAAUGAGGCCCUGACAUUGAGUAGGUUUAUACAAGGUCUAAGAGAUGAACUGAGGCGUGAGCUUUUCUUUCGAGGUGUCACUACUCUUGAUCACGCUUACUCUUUAGCUCGGGACUACGAGUUACUUAUUAGUACUCCAUAUGAAAAGCGGAGUCACCAUCGUUCACCCAUCUCAUCAGCGCCACCUCAACAUGAGUCUGCCAUAGAACCUUUCCCAUCUAGUGUUCCUCCCAUUUGGGAAAAUAAGUGUAAAGGUCGUGAUAGUCCAAUGCCCUCUUCUCCAUAUAGAAGGCAUAUUGACAAUCAUUUU
This 867-nucleotide long non-coding RNA is filed under the name Olea europaea (common olive). Its description in RNAcentral is "long non-coding RNA (OEUR_LNC004840)". The record is from RNAcentral. Lineage: Eukaryota; Viridiplantae; Streptophyta; Magnoliopsida; Lamiales; Oleaceae.